This 723-nucleotide ribosomal RNA is filed under the name Triticum aestivum (bread wheat). RNAcentral describes it as "partial small subunit ribosomal RNA". Lineage: Eukaryota; Viridiplantae; Streptophyta; Magnoliopsida; Poales; Poaceae. The record is from RNAcentral.
AUGAAGGCAGGCAAGGAUAACAUGACAAGUAGCAUUGUAAUCAAGAAAUUUCAACGUAAACACACCUGCACUAAAGCUUGGGAUCUCAAAGUGUUGAGUGCAGCUUUUCUUACAAGAAAGUUCACGGAAGAGUUUAGAGAUGAUGAGAAAAUGUCCUUGAAGAAAUUCCAAGACAAAGUGCAGGUUGAAUACAACAUGAUCCCAACCAGAUUCAAAUUGGGAAGGGCAAGGAGAGAAGCUGUUAAGGGGAUUAGAGGUGAAGAUGAUGACCAAUUCAAAUGGUUGUGGGAUUAUGGGCAGGAGCUUAGAAGAACUAACCUAGGCAACAAGUUUUUCCUUUGCACAAAGGAAGUGAUAGAUGAAAAAACUAAAUUGCCACAAGAUCAUUUCUCAACUUUGUACUGGUCAAUAGAUGCUUGCAAGAGAGGGUUUCUUGCUGGUUGUAGGCCCAUAAUAUUUCUCGAUGGUUGUCACAUUAAGACUAGGUACAAAGGGAAUCUUCUUACGGCUAUGGCUAUUGACCCCAAUGACUGUAUAUUUCCAAUAGCUUUUGGCUUGUGUGAGGUGGAGUGUACGAGCAGCUGGGAGUGGUUCUUAGCAUCACUCAAGGAUGAUCUCAAUAUAUGCAACACAUACCCUUACACUAUAAUGAGUGAUAAGCAGAAGUUAUAUAUUGGAGGCAAGAGAACUACCAAUGGUGUCAAUGUUAAAGAACAUUCAUGA